CAUGCAAGUCGAACGCAUUGUGGUUGAAAUGAUAUGAAGAACUUGUUCAGAUUUGAUUUUCAACAUUGCAAUGAGUGGCGAACGGGUGAGUAACACGUGGGAAACCUACCUCUUAGCAGGGGAUAACAUUUGGAAACAAAUGCUAAUACCGUAUAAUAAUUAAAACCGCAUGGUUUUAGUUUAAAAGAUGGUCUUGCUAUCACUAAGAGAUGGUCCCGCGGUGUAUUAGUUAGUUGGUGAGGUAAUGGCUCACCAAGACAAUGAUACAUAGCCGAGUUGAGAGACUGACCGGCCACAAUGGGACUGAGACACGGCCCAUACUCCUACGGGAGGCAGCAGUAGGGAAUCUUCCACAAUGGACGAAAGUCUGAUGGAGCAACGCCGCGUGUGUGAUGAAGGGUUUCGGCUCGUAAAACACUGUUGUAAGAGAAGAAUGACAUUGAGAGUAACUGUUCAAUGUGUGACGGUAUCUUACCAGAAAGGAACGGCUAAAUACGUA
Molecule: ribosomal RNA, 499 nt
Filed under: uncultured bacterium
Lineage: Bacteria
Description: bacterial SSU rRNA
Rfam family: Bacterial small subunit ribosomal RNA
Source: RNAcentral